This is a long non-coding RNA of Polypterus senegalus (gray bichir), 780 nucleotides long. RefSeq lists it as uncharacterized. The transcript is spliced from 5 exons. The record is from RefSeq and is a predicted model, not a curated record. NCBI's taxonomy places the organism in Eukaryota, Metazoa, Chordata, Cladistia, Polypteriformes, Polypteridae.
ACGGCAGGAGCCAUCCACUGACUGGGCACCACUACAAAUAGUCCAUCUGCUUGUUGUUGUGCUGGUGCAGUGGCAGGUGCUGUCACCUCACAGUGCCAGGAGACUGGAAUCAGAUGUCUUCUUCUUCAUUGUCAAUUUAAAGGUGACUUAUAAGAUGAGGAUGUUGCAAUAACUUAGUUGUAUGUUUUUACAAAUGGAAUACAGGUGGGGUUCUAUAAUACAGACAGCCAUGGUCAGGGCUCCAGGCCUUUGCAUGGCACACUCAGUUUAGAGUCACCUGUUUACCUAGGCUGCAUGUCUUUGAGAAUGUGGCAGUAAAACCAGAGUACCCAGAGGAAAACCGAUACAGAUGUGAAAAUCUCCACAUGGACAAUGAUCAGGCAGAGAAGACAAAUCCAGGAGUCUGGAUCUGGGAAGCAGCUGCACUAAAGGCUAUCAGACAAGCAAUUUCAUGGAUGCGACUACUAUAUGGGCACAGCACAGAGAAGAACCACUGAAGGUACCCGACUCCGCCCUUUCCUGUUACGUGUCUGUAUAUCACGGGGUCAGCAGAAGGAGGCGGCACUCUGAGGGCAGAGCAUGGCACGGGUGGAGCUCCUGUCAUAUAACUUAAACAUAAUAAGAAGCCCAAAUGGGGCCAUUUUGGUUUGUGUGAUUUGGUACCUUUACACCAUUGGGCACCUGUAUUUGUUGUUAAAAUGCAUUGAAGUAAACAGGGACGACUAGGUUGGCACCCCAACAUUUCCUUGUCUGGUCCUUGCAAUUCUUUGCUUGUCCACA